AAAAAAAAUAUUUUAUUUUACCUACAGGAUGUUAUAAUAUUGACAUAUGAUGCUAUAAUUUAGAUCUGGUAUAUCGUAAUAUAGUCAAAACUGCCAUCAAUAGGCGUUUUAGGUACAGGAUGUCAUAAUUUUAAUGUUGAAUAUCAUAAAUUCAACCCAGGAUGUCAUAAAAAUAUCCAAAAGUAUACUUUCGAGUUUUUGUUAUAAUAUCAACCCAGAAUGUCAUGACAUCUUGACUUAUUAUACUUUCAGAUAACAUUUUUAUGACAUGCUGUAUUUAAAACUAAAAAGAGAACUCCAUUUAAAAUCUAACUAAUACAUUAACUUCGCUUAACUAUGAAAAAAUUGUUGUAAUAAAAGAACGACCACAAAAUUAUAAAAAAGCAUCUACAGAUGGUAUUUUACUUCUUGAUGGGUGAGACAUAUUGCUUGGAUGGAUAUAUAUUAUCUAGAUGCUACUCAAAAAUCUCGGAUGCAGAAUUGUGGUUGAAAAAUUUUUGCUUGGACGAGUAGAAGCUCGACAAAAAGGAAGAAGAAGAGAGAAAAGAGUAGCAUUCUAAAUAUCCAACUAGAUGAUAAGAUAUUAAAAAAGUCAUCUGGGAGGGAAAGGGUAUUUUGAUCAUGUUAAAAUUGAGCUAAAAUUUAAAAAAUAGAUUAUGACGUGUAUUAAAUAUAUUCAGCGAUGGGACAGUGCACCACUUCCAUUUUCUCCACGCCUGCAGACUCUCGGUCACAUCACCCAUUUUUUCUUGGACGAGUAGAAGCUCGACAAAAAGGAG
This 779-nucleotide long non-coding RNA is filed under the name Elaeis guineensis (African oil palm). Its description in RNAcentral is "long non-coding RNA (EGUI_LNC026690)". The record is from RNAcentral. Lineage: Eukaryota; Viridiplantae; Streptophyta; Magnoliopsida; Arecales; Arecaceae.